AUGCAGUGCUCAGCUGUGCUGCAGAGUAACGACAAAGGCUGGGAGGAGAGGAAGUGGCUCACAGGCAGCUGAAGGUGUCAUUUUAAACAACGUGCUCUAAGUUAGCCUCAGAUGAGACUCUAGGAGAAGGCAUGGUGUUUCUUCUUGAUUGUCACUGUAUCCCAGGGGUACACGCACCCCAACCAGAGGCUUUGGAGGGUGUGCUUCCUGCCACCCUCAAGGGAGUUGUCUCUGUCAAGCUAACGGAUCCCGAGUUCCGGGGUGCCAGGCCGUAGUCUGCUUCAUUUUUAUCUGCACAAUAACCCGUGAGCCCAUACCAUCACCCCAUUUCACAGCUGAAGAAAUGGAUGCCCAGACAGGAUAAGUAGUUUGUACUAGAGGAUAACUACCUGGCUAACAAACCAACUAGUUAACUGGUUGGCCAGGAUUCAAAAUCUGACCCGCUUCAGAAUCGGGACUCGGACCACAGCGUGGCUUCAGAGAGCUCCUUCACCUGUGCUGGGCGUGCGUUGCCGUCGGGGAUGCGGCGGUGGUUAGCACACGUUCUCUUCACUCCCUGAACACAGAGGCUAGAGAACAGACCUGCAGACACACAGUGCCAGUGCUUGGCAGACACAAUCCUGGACGUCUGUGCUGUUAGGAACCGUCUGACGGGCGCCAGCAUCAGGCCUCGCUGCACACGGGCCUUGGAGCAAGCACAGCACCUGCUCAACAGCCAGCUCUGAGCACGGACCCUGCUUCCACCCUUCAGACAAACCAGCCACCAAGAGGCAUUUCUGGUCAUCAUCGAGCAUGACUCACCUUCAG
Molecule: long non-coding RNA, 807 nt
Filed under: Homo sapiens (human)
Lineage: Eukaryota; Metazoa; Chordata; Mammalia; Primates; Hominidae
Description: HSALNT0216560
Source: RNAcentral